UACGGAGGGUGCGAGCGUUGUCCGGAUUUAUUGGGUUUAAAGGGUGCGUAGGUGGCUUUUUAAGUCAGUGGUGAAAUACAGCCGCUUAACGGUUGAGGUGCCAUUGAUACUGGGAAGCUUGAAAUAAUUGGAGGCUGCCGGAAUGGAUGGUGUAGCGGUGAAAUGCAUAGAUAUCAUCCAGAACACCGAUUGCGAAGGCAGGUGGCUACGAUUUAUUUGACACUGAGGCACGAAAGCAUGGGGAGCAAACAGG
Molecule: ribosomal RNA, 253 nt
Filed under: uncultured bacterium
Lineage: Bacteria
Description: partial 16S ribosomal RNA
Rfam family: Bacterial small subunit ribosomal RNA
Source: RNAcentral